CCCCGCAGCCGGAGCGCGCUCUGCCCGGCCAGGAAUGUGGUCAGCGGUCGCCGUUCGCAGCCCCUUAUUUGAGCCUCGAGGCGCCCCCGGGGCGGCGCAAUCUGCAGGGCAGGAGUGUACGGCCAACAGGCAUAAGGUAAGCCCAGGUUGGACCAGGUAAGCGAUCCGAGUCUGGCGCGGGCUGACCGAGAGUACGGCAGUACAACACAGGUAUAGCUGCGGUCGUUCAGACUUAAGUAUGCGGAAGGUACAGUCUGGGGUGCAUCGAGUGAAUCAAGUGCACAAAGGUUGGUCCACACACCACGGGAGGCAGAGCCAUGGUUAUAAAGACAGGUACACCCAGGCGGGCACCUUUCUCAUUGAGACAGGAAGACUCAACAGGUAACCGUGACUGGAGCAGGUACACAGAAGUGGGGCCCCACCCAGGUCCAAGUACAUUUUUUUUUUUUUUUUUUUCUGAAAUAAGGACCUUGCUGGGAUAGAAAGGCAGCACCAGGAGCUCCAGUUCCAUGGCACCAGGUGCCACCUAUGUCACUUUUGAAAUCACCAGUGACCCCACCUAGCUAACUCCCUGCUUUGUUGCCUGGUCAUCUUUAAAGACCCCGAAGGAUCUCCACGUCAGUGCCCCCCAGGCACAGCAACCCCAGGAGCUGGCCUCCAGGAGAGAGAGAAAACAAGCCUUCCCCCAGAUCACAUCCAGGGCUGGGCUCCUCUCUGUGCUCCCCACCACUCCUGCUGAGCACUGUGUGUGCCAGUAGCCUUAAUCUUCACACAAGGGCCACUUUUAGAGUUGAGAAAAGUUCAGUGAAAAGUGCUGUAUAUUUAGACAUGUGCUCAUGUGUAGUAACUCCCUUUAAGAUAGUAAGAAUAUUAAAUGAGUCCAGAUUAAUCAGCAUAAUGAUGAUAGUCAACCACAGCGAUAAUACCUCGCAUUUAUGGAGGACUCACUGGGCGGCAGGCACGGUGCCAACGCCUUGCAGACACUUCCGUGCCUUUGCAUCUCUCCUCCUCGGCCCAGGAGUGCUCUCCCCUUCUUCCCUGGCUACAGCUGCCUGGCCAAUUCUGUUCCUCUUUUGGAUGAUGUCACCUCCUCUGUGAGGCCUGCCCAGACUCCUUUGGUGCUGAGUUGCUUCCUCCUUAGUGCUCCCACAGCACCCUGCCUGUGUCCCUACGUGCUGGAUUGUGAUUGCCUGCUUGGACCGCCUCCGGGGCCAGGGCCGGGCUGGGACUCCGCCUGUAAUCCCUGGCCCCGUGCUACCCAGCACUGUGCCAGUGGGAGCCAGCAGGGCUGGGGGAUGAGUCACGCAGCUCCGUGUCCUCCCAGAGUGAGCUGCAGUCUCGCUCUCUUCCGGCUUGUAAAGGCAGCUCUUUCCCGAGAAGCUGACUCUCUUCUGCAGAACGCAGGGCUGCUCUGGGGAAACCCUCCUCCACUUACCCCUGGAUUUUGCACACCCCGGCCCCAAACCCCAGGAGACCUCUGGAUCAAAUGUGCCGAGCCCACACCCCUUCCUCUGCCUCUUGCAUGCCGGUCCCAGUGGCUUGGCUUGCCAGCUUCCUUCCUGGAGCCUUCCUGCUCUCCUGCCAUCUGCCUUCACCUGGCCAGCCUGGGCGGGGUCUGCAGAGUUCCAGGAAUGGUCACCCACUAGAUGGGCGAUGGGGAGAGGUUGGAGAGGGAAAGGUCCCAGGAAUUACUUUGCCCUUUGGUAACUCCACUGGGAAGCUCAGAUGGGAGCACACAGGAGCUAGGUCACCUCUGUAGGAAGAGUGGGCAGACUGCCCCCGAGCCUUAGCAGAGUGGUUUUGCAGAGGUUCAGUUCCACAAGGUCUCUUGGAAAUGGAGAAAGGGACAGAUUCCUUUCAUGUUUUGAGCUCCUAGUAUGUUUUACAUUUUAUUUUAUUUUUCUAUUCUAUUCAUUUUCUUUUUUCUUUACUUUUCUUUUCUUUUCUGUGCCCAUGGCAUACAUUUGGGCCAGGGAUCAAACCUAUGUCACAGUAGUGACAACACCGGAUCCUUAAACACUAGGCUACCAGGGAACUCCAGCUUCCAGUAUAUUUUAAAAAGACUUGUCACAGUAGAGCUACAAAAAUUGAAGUGUGGGAGUUCCCUGGUGACACAACAAGUUAAGGAUCCAGCGUUGUCACUGAAGUAGCUUGGGUCACUGCUGUGGCUUGGGUUCAGUCCCUGGCCCGGGAACUUCCACACACCACAGGUGUGGCCAGAAAAAAUUGAAUUGUGUUUUAAAAUUUAAUCGAGUUUUCACUGUGGUGCAACAGAUUAAGGAUCCAGUGUUGUCUCUGUGGUGGUACAGGUUCAAUCCCCAGUCUGGAGCAGUGGGUUAAGGAUCCAUUGUUGCCCCAGCUGUGGCAUAGGGCCCAUCUGUGGCUUGGAUUUGCUCCCUGGCCAGGGAACUUCCAUAUGCUGUGGG
RNAcentral lists this long non-coding RNA (2426 nucleotides) under Sus scrofa (pig). RNAcentral describes it as "lncRNA (ENSSSCG00050063579.1)". Lineage: Eukaryota; Metazoa; Chordata; Mammalia; Artiodactyla; Suidae. The record is from RNAcentral.